RNAcentral lists this ribosomal RNA (527 nucleotides) under uncultured Microvirgula sp. Its description in RNAcentral is "bacterial SSU rRNA". It matches the Rfam family "Bacterial small subunit ribosomal RNA", at positions 66 to 586 of the family's 1533-position model. The record is from RNAcentral. Lineage: Bacteria; Pseudomonadati; Pseudomonadota; Betaproteobacteria; Neisseriales; Aquaspirillaceae.
ACGGUAACAGGGGAGCUUGCUCCCGCUGACGAGUGGCGAACGGGUGAGUAAUGCAUCGGAACGUGCCGAAUAGUGGGGGAUAACGCACCGAAAGGUGUGCUAAUACCGCAUACGCCCUGAGGGGGAAAGUGGGGGACCGCAAGGCCUCACGCUAAUUGAGCGGCCGAUGUCGGAUUAGCUAGUUGGUGGGGUAAAGGCUCACCAAGGCGACGAUCCGUAGCGGGUCUGAGAGGAUGAUCCGCCACACUGGGACUGAGACACGGCCCAGACUCCUACGGGAGGCAGCAGUGGGGAAUUUUGGACAAUGGGGGAAACCCUGAUCCAGCCAUGCCGCGUGUCUGAAGAAGGCCUUCGGGUUGUAAAGGACUUUUGUCCGGGAGGAAACCCUGAUCGUUAAUAGCGGUCGGGACUGACAGUACCGGAAGAAUAAGCACCGGCUAACUACGUGCCAGCAGCCGCGGUAAUACGUAGGGUGCAAGCGUUAAUCGGAAUUACUGGGCGUAAAGCGUGCGCAGGCGGUGAGAUAA